CCACGAACAGGGCAAACUAUUCCGAAAGGGUAGGACGCAAAGCCACCGGCCUUCAAGUACAUUGUUACCAGGUAGCGGGGUUGCCGAA
Molecule: non-coding RNA, 88 nt
Filed under: Vibrio nereis
Lineage: Bacteria; Pseudomonadati; Pseudomonadota; Gammaproteobacteria; Vibrionales; Vibrionaceae
Description: c-di-GMP sequence
Rfam family: c-di-GMP-I riboswitch aptamer
About the family: GEMM was predicted in a large-scale screen for bacterial structured RNA regulatory elements. Genes associated with GEMM are involved in a diverse array of functions, including chemotaxis regulation, signal transduction, secretion and chitin.
Source: RNAcentral